RNAcentral lists this ribosomal RNA (1061 nucleotides) under marine metagenome. Its description in RNAcentral is "bacterial SSU rRNA". It matches the Rfam family "Bacterial small subunit ribosomal RNA", at positions 8 to 1070 of the family's 1533-position model. The record is from RNAcentral.
AGAGUUUGAUCCUGGCUCAGGAUUAACGCUGGUGGCGUGCUUAACACAUGCAAGUCGAACGAAUCUUGAAAAUGAAGCUUCGGUGGAUUUUUCUUCUGAUUAGUGGCAAACGGGUGAGUAAUAAAUAAGUAACCUGCCUUAAAGCCUGGAAUAACUUUUCGAAAGGGAAGCUAAUACCGGAUAUACUUUUUAAUUCAUAAGAGUUUUAAAGGAAAGAUUUAUCACUUUAAGAGGGGCUUAUUUCUGAUUAGCUUGUUGGUGAGGUAAAAGCUUACCAAGGCUACGAUCAGUAGCUGGUCUGAGAGGACGAACAGCCACACUGGAACUGAGACACGGUCCAGACUCCUACGGGAGGCAGCAGUGAGGAAUAUUGCGCAAUGGGCGAAAGCCUGACGCAGCGACGCCACGUGAGCGAUGAAGUCUCUAGGGAUGUAAAGCUCUGUCAAGAGGAACGAUUAUGACGGUACCUCUAAAGGAAGCCCCGGCUAACUACGUGCCAGCAGCCGCGGUAAUACGUAGGGGGCAAGCGUUAUCCGGAUUUAUUGGGCAUAAAGAGCGCGUAGGCGGUACUUUAAGUCAGAUGUUAAAAGCUUCAGCUCAACUGAAGUUCGCAUUUGAAACUGAGGUACUAGAGUUUAGUAGAGGAAAGCGGAACUCACGGUGUAGCGGUGAAAUGCGUAGAUAUCGUGAGGAACACCAGUUGCGAAGGCGGCUUUCUGGACUAAUACUGACGCUGAGGUGCGAAAGCGUGGGGAGCGAACGGGAUUAGAUACCCCGGUAGUCCACGCCGUAAACGUUGUUCACUAGGUGUUGGAGGUAUCGACCCCUUCAGUGCCACAGAUAAUUCGUUAAGUGAACCGCCUGGGAAGUACGACCGCAAGGUUAAAACUCAAAGGAAUUGACGGGGGCCCGCACAAGCGGUGGAGCAUGUGGUUUAAUUCGACGAUACGCGAAGAACCUUACCAGGACUUGACAUCCGUAGAAUUUUCUAGAGAUAGAAAAGUGCUCGCAAGAGAACUACGUGACAGGUGGUGCAUGGCUGUCGUCAGCUCGUGUCGUGA